Molecule: ribosomal RNA, 254 nt
Filed under: uncultured bacterium
Lineage: Bacteria
Description: partial 16S ribosomal RNA
Rfam family: Bacterial small subunit ribosomal RNA
Source: RNAcentral
UACAGAGGGUGCAAGCGUUGUUCGGAAUUAUUGGGCGUAAAGCGUGCGCAGGCGGUUUUGUAAGUCUGUCGUGAAAUCCCCGGGCUUAACCUGGGAAUGGCAUUGGAAACUGGCUCGCUGGAGUGUGGCAGAGGGGGGUGGAAUUCCGGCGUGUAGCAGUGAAAUGCGUAGAGAUGCGGAGGAACACCGAUGGCGAAGGCAGCCCCCUGGGCCAACACUGACGCUCAGGCACGAAAGCGUGGGGAGCAAACAGG